GACGAACGCUGGCGGCGUGCUUAACACAUGCAAGUCAAGGACCGUAGCAAUACGGGACUGGCGCACGGGUGCGGAACACGUAGGCAAUCUGCCCUUCAGGGGAGAACAACCAGCCGAAAGGUUGGCUAAAUCUCCGUAAAAUCAUAGAGUGGCAUCACUUAUUGAUCAAGUUUUCUGAAGGAUGAGCCUGCGUCUGAUUAGCUAGUUGGCGGGGUAACGGCCCACCAAGGCUACGAUCAGUAGCUGGUCUGAGAGGAUGAUCAGCCACAUUGGGACUGAGAUACGGCCCAGACUCCUACGGGAGGCAGCAGUGAGGAAUAUUGCUCAAUGGGGGAAACCCUGAAGCAGCAACGCCGCGUAAAGGAUGAAGGCGC
RNAcentral lists this ribosomal RNA (374 nucleotides) under uncultured bacterium. RNAcentral's name for it is "bacterial SSU rRNA". It matches the Rfam family "Bacterial small subunit ribosomal RNA", at positions 28 to 417 of the family's 1533-position model. The record is from RNAcentral.